GUGGAGAAGGCCCGUCAUCGCUGAUAGGUGAAUGACAAAUCUGGGUUCUGA
RNAcentral lists this small nucleolar RNA (51 nucleotides) under Pyrobaculum neutrophilum V24Sta. RNAcentral's name for it is "PNEsR106". The record is from RNAcentral. Lineage: Archaea; Thermoproteati; Thermoproteota; Thermoprotei; Thermoproteales; Thermoproteaceae.